This 497-nucleotide ribosomal RNA is filed under the name uncultured bacterium. RNAcentral describes it as "partial 16S ribosomal RNA". It matches the Rfam family "Bacterial small subunit ribosomal RNA", at positions 28 to 507 of the family's 1533-position model. The record is from RNAcentral.
GAUGAACGCUGGCGGCGUGCCUAAUACAUGCAAGUCGAGCGAACAGACGAGGAGCUUGCUCCUCUGACGUUAGCGGCGGACGGGUGAGUAACACGUGGAUAACCUACUUAUAAGACUGGGAUAACUUCGGGAAACCGGAGCUAAUACCGGAUAACAUGUUGAACCGCAUGGUUCAACAGUGAAAGACGGUCUUGCUGUCACUUAUAGAUGGAUCCGCGCCGCAUUAGCUAGUUGGUAAGGUAACGGCUUACCAAGGCAACGAUGCGUAGCCGACCUGAGAGGGUGAUCGGCCACACUGGAACUGAGACACGGUCCAGACUCCUACGGGAGGCAGCAGUAGGGAAUCUUCCGCAAUGGGCGAAAGCCUGACGGAGCAACGCCGCGUGAGUGAAGAAGGUCUUCGGAUCGUAAAACUCUGUUAUUAGGGAAGAACAAAUGUGUAAGUAACUAUGCACGUCUUGACGGUACCUAAUCAGAAAGCCACGGCUAACUACGUG